Molecule: ribosomal RNA, 318 nt
Filed under: Triticum aestivum (bread wheat)
Lineage: Eukaryota; Viridiplantae; Streptophyta; Magnoliopsida; Poales; Poaceae
Description: partial small subunit ribosomal RNA
Source: RNAcentral
AUGUUUUUGCAGCUAGCAUUAAAAGCUGAUGUGUUUUAUAACAGAGUGACAAAUAUGACUAUUUGGGGAAACCAUUCAACAACUCAGGUUCCUAAUUUCUUGAAUGCCAAAAUUAAUGGGAGGCCAGUAAAAGAAGUCAUCAAAGAUACAAAGUGGCUAGAAGAGGAUUUUCCGAUAACUGUUCAAAAGGUACAUGGAGAAGGUGGUGGUGCCGCCGAGGCUGUUGCUCCCGGUGUUAGAGAGGGCGUCGCUGACCGAUGCCGCCGGCUUGCCCGAGGUGGCCUGCACGUCUUCAUGACCAGCCAUCUCCCCAGGUGA